RNAcentral lists this ribosomal RNA (253 nucleotides) under uncultured bacterium. Its description in RNAcentral is "partial 16S ribosomal RNA". It matches the Rfam family "Bacterial small subunit ribosomal RNA", at positions 524 to 776 of the family's 1533-position model. The record is from RNAcentral.
UACGUAGGGCGCAAGCGUUGUCCGGAAUUAUUGGGCGUAAAGAGCUCGUAGGCGGCCUGUUGCGUCCGCUGUGAAAUCCCGGGGCUUAACCCCGGGCGUGCAGUGGUUACGGGCAGGCUGGAGGCAGGCAGGGGAGAACGGAAUUCCUGGUGUAGCGGUGGAAUGCGCAGAUAUCAGGAGGAACACCAGUGGCGAAGGCGGUUCUCUGGGCCUUACCUGACGCUGAGGAGCGAAAGCGUGGGGAGCAAACAGG